CCUACGGGAGGCUGCAGUGGAGAAUAUUGGACAAUGGGGGCAACCCUGAUCCAGCCAUGCCGCGUGUGUGAAGAAGGCCCUCGGGUUGUAAAGCACUUUCAGUGAGGAAGAACGCCUGGUGGUUAAUACCCAUCAGGAAAGACAUCACUCACAGAAGAAGCACCGGCUAACUCCGUGCCAGCAGCCGCGGUAAUACGGAGGGUGCGAGCGUUAAUCGGAAUUACUGGGCGUAAAGCGCGCGUAGGUGGCUUGAUAAGCCGGUUGUGAAAGCCCCGGGCUCAACCUGGGAACGGCAUCCGGAACUGUCAAGCUAGAGUGCAGGAGAGGAAGGUAGAAUUCCCGGUGUAGCGGUGAAAUGCGUAGAGAUCGGGAGGAAUACCAGUGGCGAAGGCGGCCUUCUGGACUGACACUGACACUGAGGUGCGAAAGCGUGGGUAGCAAACAGGAUUAGAUACCCCGGUAGUC
This 465-nucleotide ribosomal RNA is filed under the name Vreelandella stevensii. RNAcentral's name for it is "partial 16S ribosomal RNA". It matches the Rfam family "Bacterial small subunit ribosomal RNA", at positions 338 to 795 of the family's 1533-position model. Lineage: Bacteria; Pseudomonadati; Pseudomonadota; Gammaproteobacteria; Oceanospirillales; Halomonadaceae. The record is from RNAcentral.